AUUGAACGCUGGCGGCAGGCCUAACACAUGCAAGUCGAACGAGUGGCGGACGGGGGAGUAAUGUCUGGGAAACUGCCCGAUGGAGGGGGAUAACUACUGGAAACGGUAGCUAAUACCGCAUACCAUCGGAUGUGCCCAGAUGGGAUUAGCUAGUAGGUGGGGUAACGGCUCACCUAGGCGACGAUCCCUAGCUGGUCUGAGAGGAUGACCGGCCACACUGGAACUGAGACACGGCCCAAACUCCUACGGGAGGCAGCAGUGGGGAAUAUUCCACAAUGGGCGCAAGCCUGAUGCAGCCAUCCCGCGUGUGUGAUGAAGGCCUUCGGGUUGUAAAGCACUUUUGGCAGGGAAGCGGUACCUGCACAAUAAGCACCGGCUAACUACGUGCCAGCAGCCGCGGUAAUUC
This 406-nucleotide ribosomal RNA is filed under the name uncultured bacterium. RNAcentral describes it as "partial 16S ribosomal RNA". It matches the Rfam family "Bacterial small subunit ribosomal RNA", at positions 30 to 526 of the family's 1533-position model. The record is from RNAcentral.